GACGAACGCUUGCGGCGUGCCUAAUACAUGCAAGUCGAACGCAGUGGGGACGGGUGAGUAACACGUGGGUAACCUCCCAUCAGAGGGGAUAACACUUGGAAACAGGUGCUAAACCUAUAUUGAUGGAUGGACUCGCGGUGCAUUAGCUAGUUGGUGAGGUAACGGCUCACCAAGGCCACGAUGCAUAGCCGACCGGAGAGGGUGAUGGGCCCCACUGGGACGGAGACACGGCCCAAACUCCUACGGGAGGAAGCAGUAGGGAAUCUGCGGAAAUGGACGAAAGUCUGACCGGGCAACGCCGGGUGAGGGAAGAGGGUUUUCGGAUCGUAAAACUCUGUUGUUAGAGAAGCGGUAUCUAACCAGAAAGCCACGGCUAACUACGUGCCAGCAGCCGCGGUAAUAC
Molecule: ribosomal RNA, 403 nt
Filed under: uncultured bacterium
Lineage: Bacteria
Description: partial 16S ribosomal RNA
Rfam family: Bacterial small subunit ribosomal RNA
Source: RNAcentral